This 126-nucleotide small RNA is filed under the name Salmonella enterica. RNAcentral describes it as "RtT sRNA". It matches the Rfam family "RtT RNA". From Rfam's summary of the family: This family represents a bacterial cis-regulatory element known as RtT RNA. The exact function of RtT is unknown although it is thought that it may be involved in changing the cellular response in relation to amino acid starvation. Lineage: Bacteria; Pseudomonadati; Pseudomonadota; Gammaproteobacteria; Enterobacterales; Enterobacteriaceae. RNAcentral also lists the same sequence under 3 other names. The record is from RNAcentral.
UUGCUAUCUGCGAUAUGGAAGAUUCGAACCUGCCGCAGGUUCGGGUCGAACGCAAUGAGACAACGGAGCCGUUUACGGCGACGGCCCGAAGGGCGAGCGAAGCGAGUCAUCCUGCACGACCCACCA